AAUCCACCUCUGCAUGUGAUCAUCUGCAUUUGACUCCUUGAACUAUGGCAGCCAGCUGGAGCCAUGAAGUAAGCCACCCUAACAUGAGUGGCAGAAACAUGGAGAGGGUUUCACCAUAAUGGCCAGGCUGCUCUCCACCUCCUGGGCUCAAGCGAUCCACCCACCUCAGCCUCCCAAAAUGUUGGGAUUGCAGAUAUGAGCCAUAGUUCCCCUCCAUCAGUCUUAUAGUUAAAUAGACUUCAAAAGAAUGGAAGUGGCUCAGAUCCCUCUCAACUUCUAAGAGACCCUGAUCUCUCAUCCCAUUGGCCCUUCUAAUAGAGCUAUUGGCAUUCACAUCCUAUUUUCAGCCCAAAUGUCAGUUCCUGGAGUACAAAGGCGGUGGCUGCUUCAGAUGCUUCAGACUGAAACUGCUCUUUGCCAUUCUCAUGGACACUGGAGAGUUAAGUUUGGUUAAAUUGAUGCCUUUUUCUUUUAAAAAAGAAAGAAUACACAUAUACCUUUGUGUACACACAAGCUAGGAAACAUCAAUCUAAUACAUGGAUGGCAAGAAAAACCAGAUCUGGCUCAUGCCAGUUACAAUGGUCUGUGAAGAUAAAAAGAUUUCUUCAGAUUUAUUUCUCAGCCAAUUUCUGCUUUUCCUAGGGAGAAAUUAAAAGUUUGUUAAAUA
Molecule: long non-coding RNA, 667 nt
Filed under: Homo sapiens (human)
Lineage: Eukaryota; Metazoa; Chordata; Mammalia; Primates; Hominidae
Description: NEK11 antisense RNA 1
Source: RNAcentral